GGGGCUAUAGCUCAGUUGGUCUAGAGCGCAGCACUGAUAAUGCUGAGGUCGCUGGUUCGAUUCCAGCUAGCCCCA
This 75-nucleotide transfer RNA is filed under the name Actinomycetota bacterium. RNAcentral's name for it is "tRNA-Ile". It matches the Rfam family "tRNA". From Rfam's summary of the family: Transfer RNA (tRNA) molecules are approximately 80 nucleotides in length. Their secondary structure includes four short double-helical elements and three loops (D, anti-codon, and T loops). Further hydrogen bonds mediate the characteristic L-shaped molecular structure. tRNAs have two regions of fundamental functional importance: the anti-codon, which is responsible for specific mRNA codon recognition, and the 3' end, to which the tRNAs corresponding amino acid is attached (by aminoacyl-tRNA synthetases). tRNAs cope with the degeneracy of the genetic code in two manners: having more than one tRNA (with a specific anti-codon) for a particular amino acid; and 'wobble' base-pairing, i.e. permitting non-standard base-pairing at the 3rd anti-codon position. The record is from RNAcentral. Lineage: Bacteria; Bacillati; Actinomycetota.